CGGCUCAUGCUUCACUGCUCUGAAUGUGUUUAUAGCUCCAUGAACUGAACAUGAAAUGAUCAAGAGCUCUUCUUCAUCAACCAACAAACAUGACUUUCAGCAUCAUCUUUGUCUUGACUCUGGCAGUGAUUUGUCCAGAAUCUAUUGGGCAGGUGACAGUGACUCAAACUCACUCAGAGCUGCUCGCUCAAACUGGACAACUAGUCAAAAUAACCUGUAAAACUAGCAGUAAUGUUGGCUGCUGUUGUGGAGGGACUGGAUGUCUUAGCUGGUAUCUACAAAAACCCAGAGAAGCUCCUAAACUCCUUAUUUAUGGAGCGAAUCAACGGCAGUCAGGAACUCCAUCUAGAUUCAGUGGCAGUGGAUCUAACAGUGAUUUCACUCUGACCAUCAGUGGAGUCCAGACUGAAGAUACAGGAGAUUAUUACUGUCAGAGUUACCACAGCAUCAACAGUAAAGCUGUGUUCACACAGUGAUAAAGAGUGGUACAAAAACCUCGUUCAGUCAGACGUCACAGUGAUGCACUGAUACAGCUGAGAGAUACUGCAGCUGCUGAUGGAGGAUCACAAACAACACAAUGGUGUAUCAAACCUUUCAGAGACUUUAUUUAUUUAUUAUGAGUAAACAUGUAACAUACAAUCUUAUAUUCCUUACUAAACUGGGCUAAAAUGUGGAGAAAAUGUGGAGAAUCUGUGCUUGUCCUUGCCAGUACAAUAUUUUCUAUAUUAUUUACUGUAGAAAAGUCAAUCCCUUUAAUUGCAAGUCUCGUAUGUGAUACCAUGACCGUUUCUUUGUGGAUAUACUCACUUGUUGGACUAUUUGGUGGAUGUACUUUCCUGUAUUUUCUUCUGUGUGGAUUCUUCUGUGACUGUUACCUGUUGCAUGUCUUUGAUGAAGGACUUUGAUGAAGGCCUGUGUGAUGAGUCUGUUUGAGUUCUGCUUAAGAUGCAAAUUUUAGGACUUGACAUUCAUGGCUUGAGACUUGACUCGGACUUGAGUUAAAUGACUCGAAAUAACCUGUCUUUUGUUUAAUAAAUAUCUGUCUUUGAACGCUCCGCAACCUAACUACAUGACGCAGCAGGCAAGCAGAGAGAGCUAACAUAAGAGCAUGGACUGUGACUGAACACUGGAGACAUGACUACGCCAAGAAUAAUUAAAUUUUAACAAAUAACGUUUUGGACAUGUUAAGAGUUUACUUUUAAUUGGUUUUGCGUUCAUUAAACAGAAAAUUGGGUUAAAAUC
Molecule: non-coding RNA, 1242 nt
Organism: Megalobrama amblycephala (Wuchang bream)
Lineage: Eukaryota; Metazoa; Chordata; Actinopteri; Cypriniformes; Xenocyprididae
Source: the annotation of a RefSeq genome assembly